AUUAAUAAUAAUGAUGCAAUCAAUGAGUCGUUAACAUUGCAAGUACACCGCAUCAAAGAAAUCUCAUCGUUGUAAUAACACAACUGUCCCCAAGGCGUCGCUGUUUACUGUCACUAGGAAUGCUCUGUAGCAACACGAGCUGGAAUAUCCAAAAAUAAUCUUUUUGUUUAGUAUAGGCUGUAAAAAUAUGUAUAAAAUAGACAUUAUGUUAAUCAAAGCGGAUCCACACCUGUUGGUGGGUCAUUACGGGAUGAUAAAGGUGGCUUAUGUUCACGCAAACAAAUGCCAGCGGUCAUGACAGACAGUCGUUCACCCUCCCUCGUGCACCCGCAGACGCGCACACACACACGCGCGCGCGCGCUCAGUGUAAAGGGUACCAAUUCACCAUGCUGCUUGCUGCUGGAUGCUGCUAGACCGAGACGCAUCCAUCUCACCGUCGGCUUUGACUGGAUUUCAAUAUUUUAUUCACAGGUCCACAUGGCUUCAUCGGAUGGACUAGAGAAGUGCGUUCUGCACAGAGGCAGAUCUCAAAGUGACCCGAACAUCCUCAGCGAGUCCGGCAUUGAUCUCUCGCACAGCGCAGAUGUGAUGGAGCAGCAGCAGGUUCUGCGCUCCAGCUGUCUGGUGAGUGGAGUUCACACUCCUCCCAUCCGUCGCCACAGUAAGCUGGCCACGCUGGGGCGCAUCUUCAGGCCGUGGAAAUGGAGGAAAAAGAAAAACGAGAAGCUGAAGCAAAGCUCUACAGAUGUGGCCCUGGCCUCUGGACUUCACUCUCCAGAUAUAAGCUCUCCCAUCCAGGGCAUCUCAGAUGCAGAGAUCCGGCUGCCGGGCUCUCAGGGGCCCAUUCUCAGCAUCAGUAGCAUGGAGUACCUCAGCUCAGAGCAAGACAAUCUCCCCACCAAUUUUGCACUGGACAACGACACAACAGAAGAAACAAAUUCGAACGAGGACGACGAGGACGAGGAGGUGGUUUCUGUAAACGAGAAUGAAGGCGUUGAGGAGGAUGCAGAGGACGGAGAAGAAGAUGAAGAAGAUGAACCACAGGAACAGUCUCCUCAUGACAGUCAUGCGUCCCAACUCAGCGCUGAGGAAGACGCGGAUAAAGUCGCCAACGCAGCUGUGCCUCAGUCAAACUGUUUUCUCCCGAAAGAACCGCCCAGGGUCAAUGACGGCCCCAGUCCCGUGGUUUUACGGGGGCCUUUUAGCAAUCAUGCGGGUUCGCCGCAUAUAGGCAGCAUACACCCACCGCUGCCCCCUAGCUGUAUAAUAGAGGAACUGCACCGUGCCCUGGCAUCAAAGCUAAGACAAGAAAGCAUUGAGCGGGAGCCAUGUGGAGACUGUGAGAACAGGAAGGAGGCCGAGGAAAACAAGGAGAAUGUUAGACAGGACCACUUCUCCACCGAUGCUUCGGGAAUCAUUUGUGACAUCGACAGCUGGAAUGAGUCUGUCAUUUCUGGCACAUUGCCAAGGAGAAUGAGGAAGGAGCUGCUGUCUGUGAAGCUUCGAAAUCGUCCCAGCAAACAGGAGCUGGAGGACAGGAACAUUUUUCCAACACGUAGUGACCAGGAGAGACAGGAGAUCCGGCAACAGAUAGAAAUGAAACUCGCUAAGAGACUCAGUCAACGGCCGGCCGUUGAAGAGCUCGAAAGCAGAAAUAUCUUAAAACAGAGGAAUGAUCAGACAGAACAGGAGGAGAGGAGAGAGAUCAAACAGAGGCUUAACAGAAAGCUCAACCAGAGGCCAACAGUCGAUGAACUAAGGGAACGAAAGAUUCUCAUCCGCUUCAGUGACUAUGUGGAGGUUGCCAAAGCCCAGGAUUAUGACAGGAGAGCUGACAAACCCUGGACAAGACUGUCUGCAGCUGACAAGGUAUGUGAUACAAUGCUGAUGUCAGCAUAUUUUUGCUAAGCUUUACGAUGGUCAACUCAGCUAAACAAGGACCAAAAGAGGUGAAACGUGUUGGUGAAGCAAAUCUAGCGUCAAUAGUUCAAAUGCUUUUUAUAUUAGAAUAUUUGUUCAUUUUACAGGCAGCUAUCGCAAAGAGCUCAACGAGUUCAAAAGCACCGAGAUGGAGGUUCAUGUUUCGAGCAAGCACCUAACAAGGUUUCACAGGCCUUGAGAGGGUUUUCUUCCGUGAAGAAAAUACUGAAAACGUCGUCUAUGUUUAAAGCCUGGACAUGCCUCUUCCAGAGACGUGGCGUCGGCCGUGGGAUUCUCUUAUUCUUCCAGCGCCCUGGGCCGAAUGUGGGUGUGCUUAAUGCCGGCGGCUGCGUCUCCACCACGAUCGGCGGCAGGGAGAACCUGAGGAUAAUCUGCGGCAAUAUAAACAUGAAGCUGUCAGAGUGAAGAAACUGAGGAAUUUAGUUUUUUAUGUUUUUAAACUGGACUGCAUUUCAGUGAUUGCGAAGAAUUCGUUUUGGGUAAAUGUUUGUGUACUUGUAACCGGCUCCGCUCUGAAAAACCUAAAAAACUAAGAAAAAGUAAAAAAAAUACAGUAAAAAGAAAACCAUGGGGGUUGAUGAGCCUCCUAUAAAUGACUUUCAUAUUAACUGUACAAAGUCCUACUGAACAGGGUUGUUCAUGUCAUCACUUGAAAAAAAAUCUUUGUAAGCACUUGUCUUGAAAAUAUACAACUUUUUGGAAAAAAAAUGUCCUGUUAUGUUUUUACUAUGCAAAAAGCUUACAUAACUUGUGUUAAAUUAGCAUUUAUUUGUUGCUGGCUAC
RNA transcript from Triplophysa dalaica, 2724 nucleotides. It is a transcript of the gene named phosphatase and actin regulator 3a, with no coding region annotated. NCBI's taxonomy places the organism in Eukaryota, Metazoa, Chordata, Actinopteri, Cypriniformes, Nemacheilidae. The record is from RefSeq and is a predicted model, not a curated record. The transcript is spliced from 11 exons.